RNAcentral lists this transfer RNA (51 nucleotides) under Anabaena sp. TLPVC11. RNAcentral describes it as "tRNA-Leu". The record is from RNAcentral. Lineage: Bacteria; Bacillati; Cyanobacteriota; Cyanophyceae; Nostocales; Nostocaceae.
GAACCCCCACGACCUUUUACGGUCAACGGAUUUAAGUCCGUAGCGUCUACC